GCUGGGCAUGGUGGUGCAUGCCUGUGGUCCCACCUACUCAGGAGGCUGAGGUGGGAGGAUCGGUUGAGCCCAGGAGGUCGAGGCUGCAGUGAGCUGUGGUUGCGCCACUGCACUCCAGCCUGGGCAAUAGAGCCAGACCCUGUCUCAA
Pongo abelii (Sumatran orangutan) is the source of this 148-nucleotide unclassified non-coding RNA. It matches the Rfam family "Metazoan signal recognition particle RNA". Rfam says of the family: The signal recognition particle (SRP) is a universally conserved ribonucleoprotein. The record is from Ensembl. Lineage: Eukaryota; Metazoa; Chordata; Mammalia; Primates; Hominidae.